This 561-nucleotide ribosomal RNA is filed under the name Triticum aestivum (bread wheat). Its description in RNAcentral is "partial small subunit ribosomal RNA". The record is from RNAcentral. Lineage: Eukaryota; Viridiplantae; Streptophyta; Magnoliopsida; Poales; Poaceae.
AUGCCGGCCCUGUUCCGCCGCCGCUCCUCCUCCAAGUCGCGGUCCGCCUCGCCGCCGCCGCCGCAGGACGAGCAGCAGGAGGGCACCCGGCCUGCGUCGGGCGCGGGGUCCCCGGCGCGGUCGGCGGAGGAGGAGAUGGAGCGGGUGUUCCGCAAGUUCGACGCCAACGGCGACGGCCGGAUCUCGCGGCCGGAGCUGGCCGCCCUCUUCGACAGCCUGGGCCACGCGGCCACGGAGGACGAGCUGACCCGCAUGAUGGCCGAGGCGGACGCGGACGGCGACGGCUUCAUCAGCCUGGAGGAGUUCGCGGCGCUGAACGCCACCGCGCCCGGCGACGACGAGGAGGACCUGCGGCUGGCCUUCAAGGUGUUCGACGCGGACGGCAGCGGCGACAUCUCGGCCGCCGAGCUGGCGCGCGUGCUCCACGGCCUCGGCGAGAAGGCCACGGUGCAGCAGUGCCGGCGCAUGAUCGAGGGCGUCGACAAGAACGGCGACGGGCUCAUCUCCUUCGACGAGUUCAAGGUCAUGAUGGCCUCCGGCUUCACCGCCAAGAUGGCCUGA